RNAcentral lists this ribosomal RNA (460 nucleotides) under uncultured Prevotella sp. RNAcentral describes it as "bacterial SSU rRNA". It matches the Rfam family "Bacterial small subunit ribosomal RNA", at positions 338 to 795 of the family's 1533-position model. The record is from RNAcentral. Lineage: Bacteria; Pseudomonadati; Bacteroidota; Bacteroidia; Bacteroidales; Prevotellaceae.
CCUACGGGUGGCAGCAGUGAGGAAUAUUGGUCAAUGGACGAGAGUCUGAACCAGCCAAGUAGCGUGCAGGAUGACGGCCCUCUGGGUUGUAAACUGCUUUUAGUUGGGAACAAAAAAGGCGACGUGUCGCCUCUGGAGUGUACCAUCAGAAAAAGGACCGGCUAAUUCCGUGCCAGCAGCCGCGGUAAUACGGAAGGUCCAGGCGUUAUCCGGAUUUAUUGGGUUUAAAGGGAGCGUAGGCGGACGAUUAAGUCAGCUGUGAAAGUUUGCGGCUCAACCGUAAAAUUGCAGUUGAAACUGGUUGUCUUGAGUGCACGCAGGGACGUUGGAAUUCAUGGUGUAGCGGUGAAAUGCUUAGAUAUCAUGAAGAACUCCGAUCGCGAAGGCAUAUGUCUGGAGUGCAACUGACGCUGAGGCUCGAAAGUGCGGGUAUCGAACAGGAUUAGAUACCCGAGUAGUC